ACGGAGGGUGCAAGCGUUAAUCGGAAUUACUGGGCGUAAAGCGCACGUAGGCGGUAGGGUAAGUCAGGGGUGAAAUCCCAGGGCUCAACCUGGGAACUGCCUUUGAUACUGUACAACUUGAGUCUGGGAGAGGGUGGCGGAAUUCCAGGUGUAGGAGUGAAAUCCGUAGAUAUCUGGAGGAACAUCAGUGGCGAAGGCGGCCACCUGGACCGGUAUUGACGCUGAGGUGCGAAAGCGUGGGUAGCAAACAG
Molecule: ribosomal RNA, 251 nt
Filed under: uncultured prokaryote
Description: partial 16S rRNA
Rfam family: Bacterial small subunit ribosomal RNA
Source: RNAcentral